ACAGGUGCUGCAUGGCUGUCGUCAGCUCGUGUUGUGAAAUGUUGGGUUAAGUCCCGCAACGAGCGCAACCCUUAUCCUUUGUUGCCAGCGGUCCGGCCGGGAACUCAAAGGAGACUGCCAGUGAUAAACUGGAGGAAGGUGGGGAUGACGUCAAGUCAUCAUGGCCCUUACGACCAGGGCUACACACGUGCUACAAUGGCGCAUACAAAGAGAAGCGACCUCGCGAGAGCAAGCGGACCUCAUAAAGUGCGUCGUAGUCCGGAUUGGAGUCUGCAACUCGACUCCAUGAAGUCGGAAUCGCUAGUAAUCGUGGAUCAGAAUGCCACGGUGAAUACGUUCCCGGGCCUUGUACACACCGCCCGUCACACCAUGGGAGUGGGUUGCAAAAGAAGUAGGUAGC
Molecule: ribosomal RNA, 400 nt
Filed under: Escherichia coli
Lineage: Bacteria; Pseudomonadati; Pseudomonadota; Gammaproteobacteria; Enterobacterales; Enterobacteriaceae
Description: bacterial SSU rRNA
Rfam family: Bacterial small subunit ribosomal RNA
Source: RNAcentral